GAUGAACGCUGGCGGCGUGCCUAAUACAUGCAAGUCGAGCGAACGGACGAGAAGCUUGCUUCUCUGAUGUUAGCGGCGGACGGGUGAGUAACACGUGGAUAACCUACCUAUAAGACUGGGAUAACUUCGGGAAACCGGAGCUAAUACCGGAUAAUAUUUUGAACCGCAUGGUUCAAAAGUGAAAGACGGUCUUGCUGUCACUUAUAGAUGGAUCCGCGCUGCAUUAGCUAGUUGGUAAGGUAACGGCUUACCAAGGCAACGAUGCAUAGCCGACCUGAGAGGGUGAUCGGCCACACUGGAACUGAGACACGGUCCAGACUCCUACGGGAGGCAGCAGUAGGGAAUCUUCCGCAAUGGGCGAAAGCCUGACGGAGCAACGCCGCGUGAGUGAUGAAGGUCUUCGGAUCGUAAAACUCUGUUAUUAGGGAAGAACAUAUGUGUAAGUAACUGUGCACAUCUUGACGGUACCUAAUCAGAAAGCCACGGCUAACUACGUGCCAGCAGCCGCGGUAAUACGUAGGUGGCAAGCGUUAUCCGGAAUUAUUGGGCGUAAAGCGCGCGUAGGCGGUUUUUUAAGUCUGAUGUGAAAGCCCACGGCUCAACCGUGGAGGGUCAUUGGAAACUGGAAAACUUGAGUGCAGAAGAGGAAAGUGGAAUUCCAUGUGUAGCGGUGAAAUGCGCAGAGAUAUGGAGGAACACCAGUGGCGAAGGCGACUUUCUGGUCUGUAACUGACGCUGAUGUGCGAAAGCGUGGGGAUCAAACAGGAUUAGAUACCCUGGUAGUCCACGCCGUAAACGAUGAGUGCUAAGUGUUAGGGGGUUUCCGCCCCUUAGUGCUGCAGCUAACGCAUUAAGCACUCCGCCUGGGGAGUACGACCGCAAGGUUGAAACUCAAAGGAAUUGACGGGGACCCGCACAAGCGGUGGAGCAUGUGGUUUAACUCGAAGCAACGCGAAGAACCUUACCAAAUCUUGACAUCCUUUGACAACUCUAGAGAUAGAGCCUUCCCCUUCGGGGGACAAAGUGACAGGUGGUGCAUGGUUGUCGUCAGCUCGUGUCGUGAGAUGUUGGGUUAAGUCCCGCAACGAGCGCAACCCUUAAGCUUAGUUGCCAUCAUUAAGUUGGGCACUCUAAGUUGACUGCCGGUGACAAACCGGAGGAAGGUGGGGAUGACGUCAAAUCAUCAUGCCCCUUAUGAUUUGGGCUACACACGUGCUACAAUGGACAAUACAAAGGGCAGCGAAACCGCGAGGUCAAGCAAAUCCCAUAAAGUUGUUCUCAGUUCGGAUUGUAGUCUGCAACUCGACUACAUGAAGCUGGAAUCGCUAGUAAUCGUAGAUCAGCAUGCUACGGUGAAUACGUUCCCGGGUCU
RNAcentral lists this ribosomal RNA (1372 nucleotides) under uncultured bacterium. RNAcentral describes it as "bacterial SSU rRNA". It matches the Rfam family "Bacterial small subunit ribosomal RNA", at positions 28 to 1381 of the family's 1533-position model. The record is from RNAcentral.